GACGAACGCUGGCGGCGUGCUUAACACAUGCAAGUCGAACGAAGUGGCGAACGGGUGAGUAAUACGUGAGUACCCCGCCCUCCUUUUUGGGAUAAGCCUUAGAAACGGGGUCUAAUACCGAAUAAAGGGGGAUGUGCUCGCGGCCUAUCAGCUUGUUGGGGGGGUGAUGGCGUACCAAGGAGGUGACGGGUAGCCGGCCUGGGAGGGUGACCGACUACAUUGGGGGUGUGAGACGUGCCAGAUAUCUACUGGAGGAAGCAGUGGGGGUUAUUGCACAAUGGGCGUAAGUCUGAUACAGCGACGCCGCGUGGGGGAUGAAGUCUUUCGGGUUGUAAACCUCAUUCGCUAUCGAACGGGUAUGUUGAGAAGAAGCGCCGGCUAACUACGUGCCAGACGCCGCGGUAAUUC
RNAcentral lists this ribosomal RNA (408 nucleotides) under uncultured bacterium. RNAcentral describes it as "partial 16S ribosomal RNA". It matches the Rfam family "Bacterial small subunit ribosomal RNA", at positions 28 to 526 of the family's 1533-position model. The record is from RNAcentral.